GAUGAAGAACGUAGCGAAAUGCGAUAAGUAGUGUGAAUUGCAGAAUUCAGUGAAUCAUCGAAUCUUUGAACGCACAUUGCGCCCUUUGGUAUUCCAAAGGGCAUGCCUGUUCGAGCGUCAUUUGUACCCUCAAGCUUUGCUUGGUGUUGGUCGUCUUGUCUCUAGCUUUGCUGGAGACUCGCCUUAAAGUAAUUGGCAGCCGGCCUACUGGUUUCGGAGCGCAGCACAAGUCGCACUCUCUAUCAGCAAAGGUCUAGCAUCCAUUAAGCCUUUUUUUCAACUUUUGACCUCGGAUCAGGUAGGGAUACCCGCUGAACUUAAGCAUAUCAAUAAGCGGAGGA
Molecule: unclassified non-coding RNA, 341 nt
Filed under: soil metagenome
Description: partial contains 5.8S ribosomal RNA, internal transcribed spacer 2, and large subunit ribosomal RNA
Rfam family: 5.8S ribosomal RNA (bases 1-120)
Source: RNAcentral